RNAcentral lists this ribosomal RNA (117 nucleotides) under Danio rerio (zebrafish). Lineage: Eukaryota; Metazoa; Chordata; Actinopteri; Cypriniformes; Danionidae. The record is from RNAcentral.
UGACACAGUCAUGUCACCCUGCAGCCCAAGAUUAGUUACUCACUGAAGCUAUGCAGGACUGAGCCUGGUCAGUACCUGGAUGGGAGGCCAAAUGGAAAAACUAAGUUGCUGUUGAAA